ACAAUACCUUAAUAAGCAACCAAGUGGCAAAGAGCUGAUGGUUGGUAUUCGAGAUCAAAUUCGAAUCCUAAUUAAUUUAUAUUUUCAGCUAAAUUUAUUUCUAAAUGUAAUAAAUAAAGCGGAUAGCAUACUACCUAUGUCUCCAGAAAAAUAAUAAUAAUAAUAAUAUCGUAAGCGCUUCAGGAAUCGGGUGGAUAUCCUGACUUUAGCCUACAGAGCAAGUUGUUUUUUGUU
Molecule: long non-coding RNA, 234 nt
Filed under: Ananas comosus (pineapple)
Lineage: Eukaryota; Viridiplantae; Streptophyta; Magnoliopsida; Poales; Bromeliaceae
Description: long non-coding RNA (ACOM_LNC004643)
Source: RNAcentral